AUUGCACGCUGGCGGCAGGCCUAACACAUGCAAGUCGAACGAGUGGCGGACGGGUGAGUAAUGUCUGGGAAACUGCUUGAUGGAGGGGGAUAACUAUUGGAAACGGUAGCUAAUACAGCAUAUCAUAGGAUGUGCCCAGAUGGGAUGGGCUAGUAGGUGGGGUAAAGGCUCACCUAGGCGACGAUCCCGAGCUGGUCUGAGAGGAUGACCAGCCACACUGGAACUGAGGCACGGUCCAGGCACCUACGGGAGGCAGCGGUGGGGGAUAGUGCACAAUGAGCGCAAGCCUGAUGCAGCCAUGCCGCGUGUAUGAAGAAGGACUUCGGGUUGUAAAGUACUUUCAGCGGGGAGGCGUUACCCGCAGAAGAAGCACCGGCUAACUCCGUACCAGCAGCCGCGGUAAUUC
Molecule: ribosomal RNA, 406 nt
Filed under: uncultured bacterium
Lineage: Bacteria
Description: partial 16S ribosomal RNA
Rfam family: Bacterial small subunit ribosomal RNA
Source: RNAcentral